This 21-nucleotide non-coding RNA is filed under the name Caenorhabditis elegans. Lineage: Eukaryota; Metazoa; Nematoda; Chromadorea; Rhabditida; Rhabditidae. The record is from RNAcentral.
UAUCCUUGGCGUCGGGCCUAU